GAUUCCCCUAGUAACUGCGAGUGAAGAGGGAAGAGCUCAAAUUUUAAAUCUGGCGGUGUUUCGACCGUCCGAGUUGUAAUCUAGAGAAGCGUUUUCCGUGCUGGACCGUGUAUAAGUCUCCUGGAAGGGAGCGUCAUAGAGGGUGAGAAUCCCGUCUUUGACACGGACGACCAGGGCUUAUGUGAUGCGCUCUCGACGAGUCGAGUUGUUUGGGAAUGCAGCUCAAAACGGGUGGUAAAUUCCAUCUAAAGCUAAAUAUGGGCGAGAGACCGAUAGCGAACAAGUACCGUGAGGGAAAGAUGAAAAGAACUUUGGAAAGAGAGUUAAACAGUACGUGAAAUUGCUGAAAGGGAAACGCUUGAUGUCAGUCGCGUCGGCUGGGGAUCAACCCUCGGCUUUACUCGCCGGGAGUGUAUUUCCCUGUUGACGGGUCAGCAUCGGUUUCGGUCGCCGUACAAUGGUGAGGGGAACGUGGCACUCUUCUGGGUGUGUUAUAGUCUUUCAUCGUAUGCGGCGUUCGGGACCGAGGAACUCAGCACGGCUUCGGUCUGUGCUUAGGAUG
This 562-nucleotide ribosomal RNA is filed under the name Cyanoboletus instabilis. RNAcentral's name for it is "LSU rRNA". It matches the Rfam family "Eukaryotic large subunit ribosomal RNA", at positions 73 to 625 of the family's 3401-position model. Lineage: Eukaryota; Fungi; Basidiomycota; Agaricomycetes; Boletales; Boletaceae. The record is from RNAcentral.